CCUAAACUGCAGUCCGAACGGCAGCACAGAAUAAGCUUGCUCCUUGGGUGGCGAGUGGCGGACGGGUGAGGAAUACAUCGGAAUCUACUCUGUCGUGGGGGAUAACGUAUGGAAACUUACGCUAAUACCGCAUACGACCUACGGGUGAAAGCAGGGGAUCUUCGGACCUUGCGCGAUUGAAUGAGCCGAUGUCGGAUUAGCUAGUUGGCGGGGUAAAGGCCCACCAAGGCGACGAUCCGUAGCUGGUCUGAGAGGAUGAUCAGCCACACUGGAACUGAGACACGGUCCAGACUCCUACGGGAGGCAGCAGUGGGGAAUAUUGGACAAUGGGCGCAAGCCUGAUCCAGCCA
This 350-nucleotide ribosomal RNA is filed under the name Stenotrophomonas sp. RNAcentral's name for it is "bacterial SSU rRNA". It matches the Rfam family "Bacterial small subunit ribosomal RNA", at positions 48 to 394 of the family's 1533-position model. The record is from RNAcentral. Lineage: Bacteria; Pseudomonadati; Pseudomonadota; Gammaproteobacteria; Lysobacterales; Lysobacteraceae.